UGAGUUUUUGUUUAGGUUUUAUAUGCUUUUGGGUACUUUGGUCACGCUCCCUUUCCAAUUUAGCCGGUUAUAGUUAACCAAAGGACAAAAUUCAACAUUUUUUUUUGAUAAUUAUUGAUCUAGAGAGUCCAGAGAAAAUUACUGCAGUAGUUUGGUUUCGAUCGGGUAAAAAACCUGGGACUAGUUCGCAAAAGUACGUUUUUAACAUAUUUGUGAAUAACAAUUGAACGAUUUGAUUGACAUCUUCGCUCCUUGAGGCAAAGUUGCUCACAAAGAGGAGAUCUAUUAUAUGAUAUGAAUAUCUAGUGUUUGUGUGAAUGUAUGAACAUGUCCUACAAAUUGUAAUCAUUUUCUAUUGAAAAUGUGUGUUUUUGAGGCUUUUUCAACUGUUAUAGCGCCACCUAUGAUCCGAUCUCCAUGACACUUUGCAUGCUUGUUAAGAGUCACGUGUUACAUGUUUUCACCGAGUUUCAUAAAGUUUUGAGUUUUCGUUUAGGUUUUAUAGGCUUUGGGGUAUGUUUGGCCACACCCCUUUUCUAAAUUACCCAUUUAAAGCUAACCAAAGGACAAAAUUCAACAUUUUUUUGAUAAUUAUUGAUCUAGAGAGUCCACAGAAUAUUACUGCAGUGGUUUGGUCCCGAUCGGACAAAAAACCUAGGACUAGUUCGCAAAAGUAGGUUUUUAACAUAUAAGUAAAUAACAAUUGAACGAUUUGAUUGACAGUAAUGGUUCUUGAGGCAAAGUUGUGCAUUAUGAGGAGAUCUAUCAAAUGAUAUGCAUAUUGUGUUGAUAUGUGAAACACCACGUGAUUACAGAGCCAUAAAACUCGUUAGCGCCAACUAGUGGCCGAUUUCUUUCAAAAUUCUUACAGACCUUAAGGUUCAUGAGUCGAACGUACCCAGUGAGUUUCGUUCCGAUCAACAUCCGUUAACCCUUUCAAAUAGGUGCUUAAAAUUGUUUGGCCAAUGGCGGCCAUGUUUUUUGAGAUAUGCAAAUGUCCUCAUAGGUACUUGUGCCCCUUCAGACCAAGACACUGCAUACCAAUUUUCAAGUCGAUCGAGCGAACGGUUGCCUAGUUAUAGCCAUUUAUGUGUUUUUUAAAUCUUAUUGCGCCCCCAAGUGGCAGAGCUGCGCAAUUUUUUUUAUUUGACCAAAGAUUGAGCUUAUACAUAUGUGUACCGAGUUUGGUGAAGAUAUCUCAUUCCGUUCAAGAGUUAUAGUCAAAAUAGCAUUUGGCUAACGUUAGUAUAGACGCUUUUUGGUGUACUGUUUCGCGUAAGAAUUGAAAUUUCAACUUUUUUUUGAUAAUUAUUGAUAUUGAGUGUCCAGGGAAUAUUUCUGAAGUGGUUUGAUUCCGAUUGGUUAAAAAUCCUAAGACUAGUUCGCAAAAGUAGGUUUCGGAUAUAGCUCGAUUUUGCGAGAAAACGGUGCGUCGUAGAGCAAAAAAUGCAGCUGUGCACUUUUGUUCGGGCUAACCCAAGGAUUGCAACGAUGCCUUGUUUUUGAGUCUACGGCUAACGGUUUACGAUCUGCUGCCAAAAAUGUCCAAAAUUUUAGUUUUUUGCGCUGUAGCGCCCCCGUUAGGCCGAUUGGGCUGAGACUUUGAUAAGUUCUCCCCAAAAUGAGCUCUACGAUCUGUCCAAAUUUCAGCUCUCUAGGCCUUACGGUUUGGGCUGCACGUUCAGUUCUAGGGCAGAAGAAUAAUAAUAAUAAUAAAAAUCCUAACAAUUACAAGAGGGUUUCAGCACUGCGUGCUUGAACCCCUAAUAAUAAUAAUUAAAGCUGCAAGCAGCAUUUUACGGGGUUCAAGCAUUUAAGGCCUCUGAGGUGGUCUUGGCUAACCUGGAUGCAUGGAUGACAGUUAAAGACAUCCAAAAUGAAGAAUAGGCUGGCAGACAGACACAAACACUGAAAUUAAAUGAUUAAACUAGUUUUUAACAGUUUAGAUGUCAUUUUCAGGUUAAACUGUAAUCACAAUGUGGCAAAAUUGUAAAAACUGAUAUAUCUGUAUGAACAAAAUGGAAAACAUUGACUCAAUGAGAUUUAAAAUGUUAUAACAGUUAAUUUUUUUUAUGUUUUGGCAUGAAUUAAUGAAUCCUUUCAACAGUACUGUUCAACUUUGCUGAAUGAGCCCAUUAGUGGUCUCCCGCUGCCAUCUAGUGGUUCUAAAUUGCAUUUACUCAAGCAACACUGUGUUUUUAAAUAUAACUGUUAUAGUGUUGUUAUUUUUUUUGACCAAUCUCUCUUAAAUUUUGCAUGCUUGUUUAGAAUGAAAUUAUGCAUUAUUUUACACAGUUUUGAUAAUUUGUGGGCUUUCUGUUUGUAUUAAUAGGCCUUAGUGUACACUAUGCAAAUAACAUAUUAUAAAAUUACUGGUUUAUAGUUGUCCAAAUGCAACUGUUCAACAUGUUUUUGAUAAUUAUUGACCUUCAGAGUCUAGAGAAUUGUACUUCAGUGGUUUUAUUGAUUUUCAGCUUAUACCCUAUCACUAGUUUGCCAAAGUAACUUUUUGAAAUAAUCUUGAAUAUUUAAUUAACAGCUUUAUUGACAACAUUGGUCCCAGAGGCAAAGUUGUUCAGAAUGAGGAGAUCUAUCAUAUGAUAUGAAGAUCUAGUGUUUUUGAGUGAAUAUAUGAGCAUUUUCAAACAAUUUGAGGCCAUUUACCAUAUAAAUCUUGUGUUUUGAGACCUUUUCUACUGUUAUAGCGCCACCUAUGGUGCGAUCUCCAUGAAACUUUGCAUGCUUGUUAAGAGUUACCUGUUACAUGUUCUCACCACGUUUCAUAAAGUUUUGAGUUUUCGUUUAGGUUUUAUAGGCUUUGGGGUAUGUUUGGCCACACCCCUUUUCUUAAUUACCCAUUUAACGCUAACCAAAGUACAAAAUUGAACAUUUUUUUGAUAAUUAUUGAUCUAGACAGUCCACAGAAUAUUACUGCAGUGGUUUGGUUCCGAUCGGACAAAAAACCUAGGACUAGUUCGCAAAAGUAGUUUUUUAACAUAUUUGUGAAUAACAAUUGAACGAUUUGAUUGACAGCAAUGGUUCUUGAGGCAAAGUUGUGCAUUAUGAGGAGAUCUAUCAAAUGAUAUGCAUAUUGUGUUGAUAUGUGAAACACCACGUGAUUACAGAGCCAUAAAACUCGUUAGCGCCAACUAGUGGCCGAUUUCUUUCAAAAUUCUUACAGACCUUAAGGUUCAUGAGUCGAACGUACCCAGCGAGUUUCGUUCCGAACAACAUCCGUUAACCCUUUCAAAUAGGUGCUUAAAAUUGUUUGGCCAAUGGCAGCCAUGUUUUUUGAGAUAUGCAAAUGUCCUCAUAGGUACUUGUGCCCCUUCAGACCAAGACACUGCAUACCAAUUUUCAAGUCGAUCGAGCCAACGGUUGCCUAGUUAUAGCCAUUUAUGUGUUUUUUAAAUCUUAUUGCGCCCCCAAGUGGCAGAGAUGCGCAAUUUUUUUUUAUUUGACCAAAGAUUGAGCUCAUACAUAUGUGUACCAAGUUUGGUCAAGAUAUCUCAUUCCGUUCAAGAGUUAUAGUCAAAAUAACAUUUGGCUAACGUUAGCAUAGACGCUUUUUGGCGUACUGUUUCGCGUAAGAAUCGAAAUUUCAACUUUUUUUUGAUAAUUAUUUAUAUUGAGUGUCCAGGGAAUAUUUCUGCAGUGGUUUCGUUCCGAUUGGUUGAAAAUCCUAGGACUAGUUCGCAAAAGUAGGUUUCGGAUAUAGCUCGAUUUUGCGAGAAAACGGUGCGUCGUAGAGCAAAAAAUGCAGCUGUGCACUUUUGUUCGGGCUAACCCAAGGAUUGCAACGAUGCCUUGUUUUUGAGUCUACGGCUAACGGUUUACGAUCUGCGGCCAAAAAUGUCCAAAAUUUUAGUUUUUUGCGCUGUAGCGCCCCCGUUAGGCCGAUUGGGCUAAGACUUUGAUAAGUUCUCCCCAAAAUGAGCUCUACGAUCUGUCCAAAUUUCAGCUCUCUAGGCCUUACGGUUUGGGCUGCACGUUCAGUUCUAGGGCGGAAGAAUAA
Carassius gibelio (silver crucian carp) is the source of this 4015-nucleotide long non-coding RNA. RefSeq lists it as uncharacterized. The record is from RefSeq and is a predicted model, not a curated record. The transcript has 3 exons. Lineage: Eukaryota; Metazoa; Chordata; Actinopteri; Cypriniformes; Cyprinidae.